CCCAGAUAUGUCCAGUGGUGAACCCCAGUUUUUUAACAUACUCAAGGUAACCUAUGAGGAUCUCGUGAUACACGCCUGUCCUCAGUUGACGCGGCUGGAAAAAGUGCACACUGUCCAGAUAGGAUAUAUACACACGUCUGCAUGAAAAGCAAAGAGAAAGGAGGGAAAGCAGGAUCGCACCUGGACUUCAUGCCUGGCUUCACCUCCACCAUUUUGUCUGAGACGUGCACCACCCGGAUGGUGACAUCGCCACUUUCCGGAUGGUUCUGCCGCUUCAGGAACUCAUUCACCCGUGUCUCCAGGAAGUUACCCAGUUUCGUCUGAGGAAGCCCUGAGAGCGAGAGAGGAAGAAAAAGUGGAUAACGUUUGCUGUUAGCACGGUGACAGCAACAUGGCUGUGUAGAGUCUGAGGGUAUCAACACAAAAGUCAUUUACCAUCCUGAACUUCAAAAAUAUCAGGGAUACUUCCACAAAUCAGAGUAUGUGGACAAUUAUCAGCAUUCAGCUUACUUACGCCAGUGAGCAUUCAGAUUAAGCAAAAAGGAGACUAUUCCAGCAUGUGGUAGCAGUCACUAGGUUGUAGUAACUGCUAGUUAGUUAUAACUACAUUUCCAUGGUCUAACACAAUGCUCAAUGAAAAUGUUUCAGAUUUACAUAGGUUAUUACAAAUGGCUGCAUCUACCCCUGUAAAGACCAAUUAUUUUGUGUUCAAAUGUUUUGUAUCUUCAACUGGCAAAAGAAAGGGACUCCAAAAGCUCUUUAUUAAACCAUAAAACUAUGUUAAGUCUUCUCUUUUAACCUUCGCCCUUUUUGGCUCUCCUCCCUCUUAAGCCAGAAGAAAAUGAAAAACCAUCCACUUACUUUUGGCUGUGUAUUUAUUCUCCUUUCUCGUCUUUUUGGAUAUCUUCAGACAGCCGUCGCACACAAAGCUGAACAGAGAUGGAAGGAGGAGGUGAAAAAAAUCUCUUAGCAUACUGGCCUCACAGCUAGCUGUUGUUUAUUGCUGAUUUGUUAAAUUCUCUUUGGAAAAUUGGAGGCUCAAAAGUCAGACAAAAUCCAGCUCACCCCAAUGGCCAUAUUGUCUCGUUGUGCAGAACACAGAUUUGAUGCAUUUUACGGCCACAUUCGGUACAUUCCACAAAUCUGCAGGAGAGAGGGGAAAUAUGUCAAUAGGAGAAAAUGAAUGAAUAGAGAAUGAAUAAAGAAAUGAAAGAACUGAUUAGCAAAAGAAAAAAAUGAAUGUAUAUUUUAAAAUCAAUUCCAUUAAAUAUGUCACAAAUUUCAGCUGUUAAUUCCUUAAACAGUCAAUCUGCAAGAUCAGGCUGUUAUUUAACGGAGCAAUAAGUGAACAUACAGCUCAGGGUCGAGUGUAUCAUUCCUCUUCUUCUGAAACUGGUUUUUGUUGAUGGAUCUGUAAAAAACCAAAGGGUAGAGGGAGGUUCAUGGAAUGAUGUGAUGAAGUUUGUUAACUGUGUUCAACCUAUUCCUUAACAACAAUUUAACUACCUAUGUACCACUACUUUAUACAGGUCAACACCUUGACAGGCAUCCAUCAUGUACCUUGUUCUCAGAACCACUAAUUUAGCCCUGUAGAAAAUAAGUUAUUUGAUUUUUUAACAGGUAUUUCUUGUAUUUUCUAUUAUUAUACAUUUUAAUUUGCCUGAUCAUCUAUUGGCUUGUUAUUUUGUCACUACUUUUUUGCCAAGUUUAGAACAAGAAUCAAGUCCUACAUGUCUUAAUAUAAUUAAAUACAUAGUCAUAAAAUAAACAAAAUAAGGCUGUCACUAUUGAUCAGAUUAGUAAUUGAGUGAUUACUCAAGUACUCUAACAAGAAAGAGUUAACAAAAGAUGAAGCAAUAAAAAAAGUGAAUGGAACAAAUCAUGCAUAGCUUUUCAAAGUUAUCAAAAUACUUUACUGAAAA
Colossoma macropomum (tambaqui) is the source of this 1922-nucleotide long non-coding RNA. RefSeq lists it as uncharacterized. The transcript is spliced from 2 exons. The record is from RefSeq and is a predicted model, not a curated record. Lineage: Eukaryota; Metazoa; Chordata; Actinopteri; Characiformes; Serrasalmidae.